UGCCCCAGUAACGGCGAGUGAAGCGGCAACAGCUCAAAUUUGAAAUCUGGUCCCUAGGGCCCGAGUUGUAAUUUGUAGAGGAUGCUUUUGGUGAGGUGCCGCCCGAGUUCCCUGGAACGGGACGCCACAGAGGGUGAGAGCCCCGUCUGGCUGGCCGCCGAGCCUCUGUAAAGCUCCUUCGACGAGUCGAGUAGUUUGGGAAUGCUGCUCAAAAUGGGAGGUAUAUGUCUUCUAAAGCUAAAUAUUGGCCAGAGACCGAUAGCGCACAAGUAGAGUGAUCGAAAGAUGAAAAGCACCUUGAAAAGAGGGUUAAAUAGUACGUGAAAUUGUUGAAAGGGAAGCGCUUGUGACCAGACUUGGGCGCGGCGGAUCAUCCGGGGUUCUCUCCGGUGCACUUCGCCGCGUCUAGGCCAGCAUCAGUUCGUCGCGGGGGAAAAAGGCUUCGGGAACGUGGCUCCUCCGGGAGUGUUAUAGCCCGUUGCAUAAUACCCUGCGGUGGACUGAGGACCGCGCAUCUGCAAGGAUGCUGGCGUAAUGGUCACCAGCGACCCGUCUUGAAAACACG
Molecule: ribosomal RNA, 565 nt
Filed under: Trichoderma sp.
Lineage: Eukaryota; Fungi; Ascomycota; Sordariomycetes; Hypocreales; Hypocreaceae
Description: LSU rRNA
Rfam family: Eukaryotic large subunit ribosomal RNA
Source: RNAcentral